Molecule: transfer RNA, 76 nt
Filed under: Rhodobacteraceae bacterium HTCC2083
Lineage: Bacteria; Pseudomonadati; Pseudomonadota; Alphaproteobacteria; Rhodobacterales; Paracoccaceae
Also listed under: 24 other names
Description: tRNA-Ala
Rfam family: tRNA
About the family: Transfer RNA (tRNA) molecules are approximately 80 nucleotides in length. Their secondary structure includes four short double-helical elements and three loops (D, anti-codon, and T loops).
Source: RNAcentral
GGGGCCUUAGCUCAGCUGGGAGAGCGCCUGCAUGGCAUGCAGGAGGUCAGGAGUUCGAUCCUCCUAGGCUCCACCA